CGCCCCGGCGCGGGAGAGUUUCGUGACCGCCAGUCACGGACGCCGAAGGAGCAACACCUCUCCGACAACCUCUCAGGCACCCGGACCGUGCCGGAUCC
RNAcentral lists this non-coding RNA (98 nucleotides) under Mycolicibacterium insubricum. RNAcentral describes it as "Mycobacterium insubricum Glycine sequence". It matches the Rfam family "Glycine riboswitch aptamer". From Rfam's summary of the family: This family represents the bacterial glycine riboswitch. Glycine riboswitches usually consist of two metabolite-binding aptamers domains with similar structures in tandem. The record is from Rfam by way of RNAcentral. Lineage: Bacteria; Bacillati; Actinomycetota; Actinomycetes; Mycobacteriales; Mycobacteriaceae.